This is a long non-coding RNA of Pseudophryne corroboree (corroboree frog), 2699 nucleotides long. RefSeq lists it as uncharacterized. The transcript has 4 exons. The record is from RefSeq and is a predicted model, not a curated record. Lineage: Eukaryota; Metazoa; Chordata; Amphibia; Anura; Myobatrachidae.
UAGCACCAGCUCACAGAGAUAAGGAAACCUCCCUGAGAUAACAGCUGGGCAGCAGAGUCUAUGUUUCCAGUAGAAUACGGCUCGCCUUCUUCCAAGCCUCUGAAUUUAUGCACCUUAUUGGGAGCGGACCUGGUGACUCUCCUAACAGGACCCAGGAUAGUAGUCUCCUUCACCCUUAGCUGUCAGGUGUCAGGACUUAGCUCUGUCCAGUAAUGGAAGCAAGACUAUGUAGUUGCUGCUUCUACCUCCGAUGACACUCAGCUUCCUGUCAUGCCUGCUCAGGAUACCAGCCGCGCCUCAGCCCGUUAUUUGCACUGACAGACCCUCUGCUGAGUGACCCCACUACUUCACCACCAGAUUAAUUUGGUUGAGGACAGUAAAGCAUUUUGAGCCUACACUUCCAGAGACCCCCGUGGAAAGAAGAACCAUUGUUUAACUGUCCAUCGAAACAUGGAUAUCAGAAUGAUGCCUGAGUACCAGGAAGCAUGUUGGCCUCUGAAGAUAAUAUGGGAGCGUAUUAACCAUGCAUACAGUUCAGAUACUCCUCCUAUGGACUGGGGACUUCAAAAAGGGGACUACGGCAUCCAAUCCUGGGUUUUCCCAUCUAACAAUGAAAAAUACUCAGUGGUUUGGGAUUCUGGCUGCUCCUAUUGGAAGGUGAACACUCCAUUUGGACCAUGUUUAUUUUUUAUAGGACCUCUGUUCAUCAACAAAGAAAGGACGGGUCUAGCUGUACCCCCGUUAUUCAAUGUCAACGUGUCAGAUACAGAUACACUGAUGCCGGCCUCGCCUGUAAAGGUGGUAGCGCAAAUGCAAAAAAUUGUUCAAUUUGUGGUUAAGCCUUACAGCAACAAAGCAUCCUGAGAUACAACCUGUAUGUGUUCCAUAGUGAUUGCUGAUUACCCAUGUUUUAAGUCACAUUCAAACGUUUAGUUUAUUUAGAUAAGAUAUUUAAAUGAUUUCCAAGGCGUGGAGAUGUCACAUUUUAGUGGGGGGAGGGGUGGGAUUUCUAUCAUAGUAGGUGGCCGCAGACCCGUUUUGGAAAUGUUAAAUGUCUUAAUACAUACAUAGUUGGUGAGGUUGAAAAAAGACUGGUAGUCCAUCGAGUUCAACCUGAGUUAUAUUGCAUUCCCUAUUCUAUUUAGGUUAAAGGCUAUAUCCUCGUAUAACUUUUUCCGUUAAGAAUUUGUCUAACCCAUUUUUAAACGCAUUGACUGAGUCCGCCAUUACAACCUUCACUGGCAGUGUAUUCCAUAUUCUCAUUGCUCUUACAGUGAAGAAUCCCUUCCUGUGUUGAGUAUGAAAUUUCCUCUCCUCAAGCCUUAGAUUGAUUGUUGUAUAUUCACUGAGGGGGUGCUGAUUGGGGGUCUUUUAAUACAAUAAAUGGGAUGGAGAUGUCUUUUACUCCAAUAGUUCACCUUUUGUACAGGAACCGCAAAAGACAACAACAUUAAAACCGUGACAUCUACAUGGGUGCAAUAUGCAGAAGCUGAAUGUGCAAGGCCUGAGAUGUCCACUAUCAGCACUUGGGCAUGCAAUAACAUGGCCGGCUGUUCUAGACCAUCCACCAUCAACCCUUACACUAGCCCUAUGGCAGGUGCAGUUUCUCCGUCUGAACAUGGUCCCGGGUGGAAGCGGCUCUGCAUCUGUGAAUGCAGCCAUUUUUACUGACACUUUCAGGAGAUGGACUUCUUUUUUGCAUUGACUUUGUGCAUACAUUCGGGGUAAUGCAUGCGCCAUAUGGUUUUUUGCACAUGCUUAGUAUGUGAACUUUGGUAUUGGCCCAUAAUAUCAAUACAAGCCAUUCUCUUUAAAUGGAUCUUACAGCAACUAUGAGCUAUGAAAACUGGACCAGGCAUUGUGAAGGAAGAAUUCAUUGGACCUCCAUUACUGAUAAGGCCAAUAUGGUCAUGGUUGUCCGUGUUAUUACAUUACUUUCCAACAGCCUGGAGUUUGGUGGGACUGUCAAAAUUCAUGAGAGUAAAUUUACUAAUGGGCGGUUUGUCAAAGCCGCUGAUGAUCGGAGGUUGUCACUGAUCGGUUUUAAAACAGCAACAGUAAUACAUGAUAAAUCAGGCUGGUUACCAUUUACCACUGCUGCUGAUUUAGAACCAUCAGUCAGAGCCGCCAAUCAUUGGCUUAUUUGGCAAAUUGCAUCAUGGUAUAUCUGCUGCUUGGUUUUAUAUGGUUUUAUAAUAAUGGGUUCUCAGUUGGGGAGAGCUAGGUUUAGUAUGGGCGGAUUUGGGUGUACUUUGGGUGGACCAUGGGAAUUACAAUCUUUCCCGGUUUUGGGAAGUUGGGAGAUAUGGUUACCACAAUACAAUCAUGUAAUGCUCUUCUGUAUAGAGUUUGUAAAUGAGAAUAAGAAACACUUAUAUAAUGAGCAGUGCAGUAAGUAGUGGUGUGCACGUGGUGCCGUUGCACAGGGUUCUGACAGUGGUGCCGUCACAAUACACCGGUCUCCACAUCUGGCUAGCAGACAACCAGUAUCAUCACUGCAGUGCCACCUGGAGCGUCCUUUGGACACUACAGACAUUCUCCCCGCAGCCUGUAUAGCCCCAUGGUACAUGUGCAGUACGUUUCUUCUCUGCAGCUUGUGGCCAGAGCCGGCCUUAGGCAUAGGCAAACUAGGCAAAUGCCUAGGGCAUCUGGUAUGCUUAGGUGCACCAACAGCUUCUGCUGAUUAAAAUGAUAUGCGG